AUUUAUAUAGUUUAAUAAAACAUUACACUUUCACUGUAAAAAUAAAAAUUUUUUUUUAUAAAUU
Molecule: transfer RNA, 64 nt
Filed under: Phaonia tuguriorum
Lineage: Eukaryota; Metazoa; Arthropoda; Insecta; Diptera; Muscidae
Description: tRNA-Glu
Rfam family: tRNA
About the family: Transfer RNA (tRNA) molecules are approximately 80 nucleotides in length. Their secondary structure includes four short double-helical elements and three loops (D, anti-codon, and T loops). Further hydrogen bonds mediate the characteristic L-shaped molecular structure. tRNAs have two regions of fundamental functional importance: the anti-codon, which is responsible for specific mRNA codon recognition, and the 3' end, to which the tRNAs corresponding amino acid is attached (by aminoacyl-tRNA synthetases). tRNAs cope with the degeneracy of the genetic code in two manners: having more than one tRNA (with a specific anti-codon) for a particular amino acid; and 'wobble' base-pairing, i.e. permitting non-standard base-pairing at the 3rd anti-codon position.
Source: RNAcentral